ACAGAAGGCAGCAGUGGGGAAUAUUGCACAAUGGGGGAAACCCUGAUGCAGCGACGCCGCGUGAGUGAAGAAGUAUCUCGGUAUGUAAAGCUCUAUCAGCAGGGAAGAAAAUGACGGUACCUGACUAAGAAGCCCCGGCUAACUACGUGCCAGCAGCCGCGGUAAUACGUAGGGGGCAAGCGUUAUCCGGAUUUACUGGGUGUAAAGGGAGCGUAGACGGCGAUGCAAGUCUGAAGUGAAAGGCGGGGGCUCAACCCUUGGACUGCUUUGGAAACUGUAUUGCUAGAGUGCAGGAGAGGUAAGUGGAAUUCCUAGUGUAGCGGUGAAAUGCGUAGAUAUUAGGAGGAACACCAGUGGCGAAGGCGGCUUACUGGACUGUAACUGACGUUGAGGCUCGAAAGCGUGGGGAGCAAACAGGAUUAGAUACCCUGGUA
Molecule: ribosomal RNA, 434 nt
Filed under: uncultured Clostridium sp.
Lineage: Bacteria; Bacillati; Bacillota; Clostridia; Eubacteriales; Clostridiaceae
Description: partial 16S ribosomal RNA
Rfam family: Bacterial small subunit ribosomal RNA
Source: RNAcentral